This 718-nucleotide ribosomal RNA is filed under the name uncultured Sebacinaceae. Its description in RNAcentral is "eukaryotic LSU rRNA". The stretch from base 269 to 422 matches the Rfam family "5.8S ribosomal RNA". Lineage: Eukaryota; Fungi; Basidiomycota; Agaricomycetes; Sebacinales; Sebacinaceae. The record is from RNAcentral.
AACUUGGUCAUUUAGAGGAAGUUAAAGUCGUAACAAGGUUUCCGUAGAUGAACCUGCGGAAGGAUCAUUAAUGAAUUACAAGUCGGUCAUCUGUGCUGGCAGAAAUGCAUGUGCACGUUGAUCGCAAAUCCAUACACAUGUGCACCUUUGACUCUGAGAUCUGCAGGCCUGGCUUGCAGCCGGUUAACUUAGGUUGGCCUGGAUCUCAAAGUAUUUUUACACACUCUACUUGUGAUGGAAUGUUGAUGUGCAUAAUGCGCAAAAAUACAACUUUCAACAACGGAUCUCUUGGCUCUCGCAUCGAUGAAGAACGCAGCGAAAUGCGAUAAGUAAUGUGAAUUGCAGAAUUCAGUGAAUCAUCGAAUCUUUGAACGCACCUUGCACCCUUUGGUAUUCUGAAGGGUACACCCGUUUGAGUGUCAUUGUAAUCUCACUCCUUCAAUCUUGAUGUCGUUGGAUGUGGACUUGGACCUUGUCGUGUCACAAAUGACUGGUCUUAAAUGUAUGAGUGCACCCUGCAGUCGCAGCAUCUUCAGUGUGAUAAGCAUCUUCACUGGAACAAAGUCCUCGGGACAUGUAUGCAUUGUGGGCUCUGUGCUGGCAAAAAGUCUUAGGACAAUCUUUGACAAUUUGACCUCAAAUCGGGUGGGACUACCCGCUGAACUUAAGCAUAUCAAUAAGCGGAGGAAAAGAAACUAACAAGGAUUCCCCUAGUAAC